AAAUUGCAAAUAAAAUUACCGUAGACAGCCGGUGGCAAAAGCCUUAAAGAACAGUAGUUCACCUGCCGAGGGAUUGAUAUAAAAACUGUAUUUUUCAAUGCAGUAUAUUAACCUCUGCAGGUCAUCGGCAGAGGUUUUUUAAUGGAUUU
This is a regulatory RNA element of Syntrophomonas wolfei subsp. wolfei, 149 nucleotides long. It matches the Rfam family "Ribosomal protein L10 leader". Rfam says of the family: This family is a putative r-protein leader autoregulatory structure found in B. subtilis and other low-GC Gram-positive bacteria. It is located in the 5' untranslated regions of mRNAs encoding ribosomal proteins L10 and L12 (rplJ-rplL). The record is from Rfam. Lineage: Bacteria; Bacillati; Bacillota; Clostridia; Eubacteriales; Syntrophomonadaceae.